This 1342-nucleotide long non-coding RNA is filed under the name Equus caballus (horse). RNAcentral's name for it is "lncRNA (ENSECAG00000056798.1)". The record is from RNAcentral. Lineage: Eukaryota; Metazoa; Chordata; Mammalia; Perissodactyla; Equidae.
CUUUUAUUCCUGCGCUUCUCAGUAUCAGGGAGCAGGUUUAUCAUUAAAAAUGUAAAUUACAGGGCUGGCCUGGUCGCUCAGUGGUUAAGUUCGUGUGCUCUGCUUUGGUGGCCUGGAGUUCAGCAGUUCAGAUCCCGAGUGCAGACCUACACACUGUUUGGCAAGCCAUGUUGUGGCACAUGCCCCACAUAUAAAGUAGAGGAAGAUGGGCACGGAUGUUAGCUCAGGGCCAGUCUUCCUCAGCAAAAAGAGGAGGAUUGGCAGCAGAUGUUAGCUCAGGGCUAAUCUUCCUCAAAAAAAAAAAAAGUUACCUUGGGGGAGGAGGCAUAACAGUAGAGCCCUGCCUUUGCUGAUGUCACAAGUCUCUUUGGAACACCAAGAUGCUGCGGUCUUGCAAGUCCAUUAAAUGGCAGAACUUGAUUGUAUGUCAUUAACCUGGAGUCUUCAUCAAACUCAUGAGGGUGUAAACCAUAGCUUCUUGUCCGCAGAGCCGAAGACCAGAGAGAGAGCUAUAAAAAACAGUGAGAAUGAUGCUCUUGAUAGAUUUCUUCACAAAGAACUGUAACUCUGGUCAAUAGUGGAGAACUUGAAUAUUGCGAUCACUUGUUCUUUGUGCAAAAUAUUGGACCGAGAAACCUGGAGCUGCAGCUGACAGAGAACAAACUAGAAUUUAGACUGACCAACCCAUGAACUCUCUAGUUGUGGGGAAUCUGUGAAUAUAAGCUCUUGAAGAGUUGGCCCUACUUUUGUUUCCAACGAGGAAGGUAUGUCACUAGAAACAAGCCGCCGUCUGUGACAAAGCCACCCUUUGCCACGACAGUCACCGUGAAACACAUUCGUGUGAACAUUUCUAAGAGACGAAGGCCCACCACUUUUAGUCCCAACUUUUGGAGAUUAUUAAGUAAUCCGGGAUCCUUUGAAAUCACGCCAGUGUUGAUUCUUCAGAGUUUCCAAGUUGGAGGAUCAGGGGGCAGGAGGAGAUGCAGACGCUUCGCUCCUUUGCAGAUCUGCCUAAAAUUUGCAGAGCAGCCUGGUUUUUCAGAAGAACGGAUGAGAAACAAUCAGCCUCCUUGACGUGCCAAUAUCCCUUGGCCCUGAACUAUAGCUGAGUUAUUAAAGAACACAGGUUCUCCGAUCUGUUCUUUCAGAGCAAGGGCCUCUGAAGUGAUUUGCCCUGAAAUGUAAAAUUGCACUAAACUUGGCUACCCUAACUGUCUGCUGUCUCAUUAUUUGUCUGAGGAUUAUUCCUGCCAGUGACACUCAUUUCCAAAUGGGAAAUUGUAUCAUUUAACUCUUUUCCAACAAUGUAGCCAUAUAUGGAAAGAUGUCUGCAAGAAGCCUG